Molecule: ribosomal RNA, 463 nt
Filed under: uncultured bacterium
Lineage: Bacteria
Description: partial 16S ribosomal RNA
Rfam family: Bacterial small subunit ribosomal RNA
Source: RNAcentral
GAUGAACGCUGGCGGCGCGCCUAACACAUGCAAGUCGAACGGCACCCCUCCUCGGAGGGAAGCGAGUGGCGAACGGCUGAGUAACACGUGGAGAACCUGCCCCCUCCCCCGGGUUAGCCGCCCGAAAGGACGGGUAAUACCGGAUACCCCGGCUUGCCGCAUGGCACCCCGGCUAAAGCCCCGACGGGAGGGGAUGGCUCCGCGGCCCAUCAGGUAGGCGGCGGGGUGACGGCCCACCGUGCCGACGACGGGUAGCCGGGUUGAGAGAGCGACCGGCCAGAAGGGGGGGGAGAGACGGCCCAGAGGGCUACGGGAGGCAGCGGGGGGGAAGGGGGCGCAAGGGGGGGGAGCCGGACGAAGCGACGCCGGGGGGGGGAUGAAGGGCUGCGGGGUGGAAACAUGUGUCAGCAGGGAAGAAGCGAAAGUGACGGUACGUGCAGAGGAAGAACCGGCCAACUACGUG